GACGUAGGGGGCCAGCGUUGUUCGGAAUUACUGGGCGUAAAGGGUUCGUAGGCGGUGUAGCAAGUCGGGAGUGAAAUCUCUGGGCUUAACCCAGAGGCUGCUUCCGAAACUGCUGUGCUUGAGUGUGGGAGAGGCGCGUGGAAUUGCAGGUGUAGCGGUGAAAUGCGUAGAUAUCUGCAGGAACACCCGUGGCGAAAGCGGCGCGCUGGACCACUACUGACGCUGAGGCGCGAAAGCCAGGGGAGCGAACGGG
This 253-nucleotide ribosomal RNA is filed under the name uncultured bacterium. Its description in RNAcentral is "partial 16S ribosomal RNA". It matches the Rfam family "Bacterial small subunit ribosomal RNA", at positions 524 to 776 of the family's 1533-position model. The record is from RNAcentral.